Molecule: ribosomal RNA, 427 nt
Filed under: uncultured prokaryote
Description: bacterial SSU rRNA
Rfam family: Bacterial small subunit ribosomal RNA
Source: RNAcentral
UGGGGAAUUUUGGACAAUGGGCGCAAGCCUGAUCCAGCCAUGCCGCGUGCAGGAUGAAGGCCUUCGGGUUGUAAACUGCUUUUGUACGGAACGAAAAGACUCCUUCUAAUAAAGGGGGUCCAUGACGGUACCGUAAGAAUAAGUCACGGCUAACUACGUGCCAGCAGCCGCGGUAAUACGUAGGUGGCUAGCGUUAUCCGGAUUUACUGGGCGUAAAGCGGGCGCAGGCGGCUCUUCAAGUUGGAUGUAAAAUCUCCCGGCUUAACUGGGAGGCGACGUCUGAUACUGUUGAGCUUGAGGGUAGCAAGGGUAGACGGAAUUCCCGGUGUAGCGGUGAAAUGCGUAGAUAUCGGGAGUAACACCAGUGGCGAAGGCGCCUUUCUGGACUGUGUCUGACGCUGAGAUGCGAAAGCCAGGGUAGCGAACA